GACGUGUUUGGAGCUGGAGACGGCCUGGGUGCUGGCGAAGCGGAGGCCGGAGUUAAUACACGAGGAACUCAUGCAAAGGAGGGGACUUUCGGAAAUCCAAACUUAGAGUGCCUUGUAUUUAGAAUCCGGAAGGAAAAGGAAAUGAAAUGUGAAGAAACUCAUGCACCAAACUCGAACUGGGUAUAUGUGAUGUUACCUAGGUAUUAUUUUUGAAGAAUUUCUGACUGACAAUAAAAUAUAGAGUAGGAUACUUUCAUGUAAGGCACGAAACUUAAAUUUAAUGCAAGGUUGUCUGAUCCUUGUUGAGAUUAUUAAAUCUAAGGUGUAUGAAGAGUUCUGUGUUCUCACAUCAUAGGAUAGAUGUAAAAAAGAAAGCUGUGAAUUUAUUUACUAUCAUCAUCUCUCUUAGGAAGAAGUGAAGUGUGGAAAAAAAUUGUCUUCA
RNAcentral lists this small RNA (442 nucleotides) under Pan troglodytes (chimpanzee). RNAcentral describes it as "retained intron". Lineage: Eukaryota; Metazoa; Chordata; Mammalia; Primates; Hominidae. The record is from RNAcentral.